UAAGAGCGAAACUCCGUCUUGGGAGGCGGGGGGGGGGGGCAUGUGGGAAGAAGCCACCCGAGGAGCCUGGUAGGGUGAUGAAAGUGAGAGCAGAGGUGUAGCUCAGGGCCGUGCAGCACCUCGGCUUUGGCUCUUUGCAGGCUGUAGAAGCAGAAUCGUAAGACUUCUCCUGGCUUGUUUCUUUCCAUUUCUCGAUUUGACUCCUCAGCCUGCUCUUCUGGCUCCCUGCUGUCUAAUGGAAUUCCAGAGCUUGACCUUGAGAAUGCAGAUUCUCCCGAUUGACAACUUCUAGAGAAGGGAAUCUCAGAAAGACAAAGGAGAUGUUCCUUCUUCCGCUGCAAGAGUGGAAAAGCAGACACUCUCCUGAGAGCCUCAUAAAGCUGGUGAAAGCCUGUUCUGAUAAAGCACCCAGGAGAUCAUUCCUUCCGCCCCCUGCUCCCAGGACAGGCACUUAGAACUUUUCUUGAUUUCCCUGCAUGAUCUUUGGAAUCAGCUUGUCAAGAUCCAAAAUAAUCCUGUUGGUAUGUUUGUUUGUAUCCCAUUAAAAUUAUAGAUGAAAAGAUAGAAAGAUGGUAUCUUUUCUUCAAUUGACUCCUCUAGCCAAAAAUGGAUAUGACUUUUUCCUUUAUUCAAGUCUCAUGGCACAUAAUAGCCUUUGAAAGUUUUAGUCAUAUAGUUCCUGUACAUUCCUUGUGAAGUAACUCAUUCAUUUAAACAUUUGAAUAGUAUUCUAUUAUAUUUCAUUCCAUGGUUUAUUUAAUCAUUCUAUCUUUGAAUGGCAUUUGAAUAAAUCUGUUUCCAAGUUUAUUCUGUUACAUAUAGCACUGCAAAGAGUAUCCCUGCAAAAAUAUGUAUUUGGAAAUGAUGUUACUAUAAAUGAAGUUGAUGGACCAAAGGAUUUUAAAAAUAUAAAAUAAUAAGAUAAUAAAGGUCAUGCUAAUAUAAAAAUAAA
Molecule: long non-coding RNA, 952 nt
Organism: Homo sapiens (human)
Lineage: Eukaryota; Metazoa; Chordata; Mammalia; Primates; Hominidae
Exons: 2
Source: RefSeq, a predicted model, not a curated record